CUAAUUGAUACUGAACUUCUCUUAUGACAAUACGGUCAACUAUGCAUGGCCCCAUUACCAGCCCUGGGGCGCCCCUGGGUCAAACAUGCGGCGUGGGGAUAUGCGUCGGUCUCUGCCGCUCCAUUUCUAGUCAACAUUGGAAACAUUGGCAUCUUAAAGGAAUAAAUUAUGUAUGAGCCCAAAUUUUGCAGAACUAUGGCCCUUGCUCAUUUUUGUUUAGCUCCUCAGCUGAAAUCAUCAUCUAGCAGUCACAAUAGUUGAGCGGUUGGAGAGGCAUGCAUUGCGUCCUACUACUGCUCAGACUAUAUCAUGUUUGGCAGACAAAACAUGCUGAUCAAAAAGAAUGUGUACCACAGGGGCCAGUGUUUCCAUUUGAGUGAUUGACAAGAAGAAGAAGAGAUGAGAAAUGUUAUCAUCAUAUUUUAGUCCCUACAUUUAUAGUGUACAGCUCAAUGUAUUGAACCGGUGUUGUAGAAUAUAAUUGGAGAUACAUGCGAACAUUAUAACAUUAUAUAUAAGAUGAUAUUUCAAAAGCAAUAAGAAAUAAAAAGUAUAAAAAGGUCAAAACAGUAAACCUUGUGUUUACAGUGGACAGGUUUAAAGUGGAAGUGACUAGUUAACUGUUGAUCAUAAGCUGCACUGAUGGAAAAAAUAGUGGGAAAUUACUAUCUAGAAAACUGUUUAACGUACGACAACAGUUGUGGAACUUCAUAAAUGACCGUAUGUAACAGGGCUGGGCAAUUUUCCUUAUAUAGCUAUAGUGAAACCUUUUGAACACUAGUGAAGUCACUGUUUUUUUUCCAAUCUUCAUGCAUUUUGGUCGAAUAUUUGUUCAAAUGAUGGCUCAGUCCAGUUUCGAAAUUUUUAUGUCUAUUCAAAAAACAUAUCCACUAGAGCACGAGGCAAUUGUCUUUAUAUGGCUAUAAUGAAACCUUGUAAAUUCUCUAGAAGUGACAUUUUUAGCCAUAUCUCCAUAAAUUUUGGUCAGAAUAUUUAUUCUAAUGAUAGCUCAGUUGUCGAGUUUGUAACUGGUUCCGGUUUGUAGACUAACAUGGCUGCCAGUGGACAUGACAGUUUUUCUUAAAGUGCUAGAGUAGAACCUUGUUAACACACAAUUGGCCCUUUUUAUGUGCAUUUUUCAUGAAAGAUGAUCAGAGCAUUUGGCCCAAUGUAAUCUCAGCUGACUUUGAAACUGGAUCACAUAACGUCAAAAAGUGGGUUAAAAUGUCAAAUUAAAAAAAGCUUGUAAACACUGGAAGUUGCAUUUAAAAUUGUGUUCCUUUUUUAUAUCCCCCACUAUAGUAGUGGCGGACAUAUUGUUUUUGCCCUGUCUGUUGGUUGGUCUGUUGGUCUGUUGGUUGGUUUGCGCCAACUUUAACAUUUGCAAUAACUUUUGCAAUAUUGAAGAUAGGAACUUGAUAUUUUGCAUGCAUAUGUAUCUCAUGGAGCUGCACAUUUUGAGUGGUGAAAGGUCAAGGUCAUCCUUCAAGGUCAAAGGUCAAAUAUAUGGGUCAAAAUCGCUCAUUUAAUGUACACUUUUACAGUAUUUCAAUAUUCAAGAUAGCAACUUGAUAUUUGGCAUGCAUGUGUAUCUCAUGGAGCUGCACAAUUUGAGUGGUGAAAGGUCAAGGUCAAGGUCAUCCUUCAAGGUCAGAGGUCAAAUAUAUGUGGCCCAAAUCGCUUAUUUUAUGAAUUCUUUUGCAAUAUUGAAGAUAGCAACUUGAUAUUUGGCAUGCAUGUGUAUCUCAUGGAGCUGCACAUUUUGAGUGGUGAAAGGUCAAGGUCAUCCUUUACAAGGUCAAG
Molecule: long non-coding RNA, 1803 nt
Organism: Dreissena polymorpha
Lineage: Eukaryota; Metazoa; Mollusca; Bivalvia; Myida; Dreissenidae
Exons: 3
Source: RefSeq, a predicted model, not a curated record